AACGAACGCUGGCGGCGUGCCUAACACAUGCAAGUCGAACGAGAAAGGGGCUUCGGCUCCGAGUAAAGUGGCGCACGGGUGAGUAACACAUGGGUAACCUGCCUCUAAGAUUGGGAUAACUCGUCGAAAGAUGAGCUAAUACCGAAUAAGACCACAGUUCCCGCGGGAACAGGGGUCAAAGGUAGCCUCUGCUUGCAAGCUAUCACUUAGAGAUGGGCCUGCGCACCAUUAGCUAGUUGGUAGGGUAACGGCCUACCAAGGCAAAGAUGGUUAGCUGGUCUGAGAGGAUGAUCAGCCACACUGGAACUGAGACACGGUCCAGACUCCUACGGGAGGCAGCAGUGGGGAAUAUUGCGCAAUGGGCGAAAGCUUGACGCAGCAACGCCGCGUGAGUGAUGAAGGCCUUCGGGUCGUAAAGCUCUGUCGGGAGGAACGAAUGCUCCUGAGGUUAACAGCCUCGGGAGGUGACGGUACCUUCAAAGGAAGCACCGGCUAACUCUGUG
This 503-nucleotide ribosomal RNA is filed under the name uncultured bacterium. Its description in RNAcentral is "partial 16S ribosomal RNA". It matches the Rfam family "Bacterial small subunit ribosomal RNA", at positions 29 to 507 of the family's 1533-position model. The record is from RNAcentral.